CUCUCUCUAGCCUCCUGGUUUAGUUUUGCCAACCUUUUUUUUCUAAAGUUUUUGGUGAUAAAAAGCCUGUUAUUCUUUUUCUGUUCUCAUAGUUAAAGUUAUAACGCCAUUGUAGGUACUGAGGCAGAAAAAUGGGAAAUACGGUGUUGGUGGUGUUUGCAACGGAGGAGGUGGUGCAUCUGCCCUUGUUUUAGAGCUUGUGUAAGCCUUUUUCCAUGUUAGGCUGGAUAUGAAGAAGGUUGGGAGAUGAGAAUCUGUUGGCAUCAAAGUCCGAUGUUUGUUUUGCAAUUUCAUCUUCAUCUUCUCCUCCAUUUUUUGGCUUUCUCUAGAAUAAACUAUAAUUGUAUUUAUCUUCUGAAAGAAAUAUAGUUGGUUUCUAAUA
This is a non-coding RNA of Corylus avellana, 382 nucleotides long. NCBI's taxonomy places the organism in Eukaryota, Viridiplantae, Streptophyta, Magnoliopsida, Fagales, Betulaceae. The record is from RefSeq and is a predicted model, not a curated record.